Molecule: ribosomal RNA, 253 nt
Filed under: uncultured bacterium
Lineage: Bacteria
Description: partial 16S ribosomal RNA
Rfam family: Bacterial small subunit ribosomal RNA
Source: RNAcentral
UACGGAGGAUGCGAGCGUUAUCCGGGUUUAUUGGGCGUAAAGCGUGCGCAGGCGGAUUGGUAAGUCUGCUGUGAAAGUUUACAGCUCAACUGUGAAAUUGCAGUGGAAACUGUUUAUCUUGAGUACACUUGAGGUAGGCGGAAUUCCUGGUGUAGCGGUGAAAUGCGUAGAUAUCAGGAAGAACUCCAGUGGCGAAGGCGGCUUACUGGGCUGUAACUGACGCUGAGGCACGAAAGUGUGGGUAGCAAACAGG